UUCCUCUCCCAUGGGUGGACAUACUGGCAUUAUAAAGACGAGAAAUGCCAUAUGUUCCAGAUUUUACUGGCAGGGGAUGUCAGUUGAUAUUGAUAACUGGGUACUGGAGUGCGACAAAUGUCAAAAAGUUGGCAAACCUUUGACUGCUGUUCAGCCAUUGCAGUGUAUUAAGGUGUCUGCUGUCUGGGAGCUUCUUGGAAUUGACUUAACAGGACCAUUACCAAAAACCACAAGUGGCUUCCAGUACAUUCUCACAGUCACAGAUUACUUUUCAAAGUGGG
Molecule: long non-coding RNA, 281 nt
Organism: Pygocentrus nattereri (red-bellied piranha)
Lineage: Eukaryota; Metazoa; Chordata; Actinopteri; Characiformes; Serrasalmidae
Exons: 3
Source: RefSeq, a predicted model, not a curated record